UUUGUUCACUCAAAAUGGAUACUGAUCCUAAUAUGAUAAUUACAAAAUAUGGAGUGAAAGAGAUCUUUAAAGAAGAGCUUAAAACUUGUGUCACAAAGACAAGUAGAUUGAUUGUUGUAAAUUGAACUCUUGCUCUUCAAUGUUUCCAAAGCCUUCCUUUUAUAGUUGAACCUUGAGUCUUCAGUUUCUUGGUCCCAAAGGAAGUUCUCCAACGGCUAGUUGAUUCAAAAUAGACAGCUCAUGCUGAAUUGUUGAGUGGAUAAGCUCAAACUGAUCUU
This 278-nucleotide long non-coding RNA is filed under the name Trifolium pratense (red clover). Its description in RNAcentral is "long non-coding RNA (TPRA_LNC007640)". Lineage: Eukaryota; Viridiplantae; Streptophyta; Magnoliopsida; Fabales; Fabaceae. The record is from RNAcentral.